Molecule: ribosomal RNA, 468 nt
Filed under: uncultured bacterium
Lineage: Bacteria
Description: partial 16S ribosomal RNA
Rfam family: Bacterial small subunit ribosomal RNA
Source: RNAcentral
GACGAACGCUGGCGGCGUGCUUAACACAUGCAAGUCGAACGGAAAGGCCCUGCUUUUGUGGGGUGCUCGAGUGGCGAACGGGUGAGUAACACGUGAGUAACCUGCCCUUGACUUUGGGAUAACUUCAGGAAACUGGGGCUAAUACCGGAUAGGAGCUCCUGCUGCAUGGUGGGGGUUGGAAAGUUUCGGCGGUUGGGGAUGGACUCGCGGCUUAUCAGCUUGUUGGUGGGGUAGUGGCUUACCAAGGCUUUGACGGGUAGCCGGCCUGAGAGGGUGACCGGCCCCAUUGGGACUGAGAUACGGCCCAGACUCCUACGGGGGGCAGCAGGGGGGAAUAUUGCACAAUGGGCGGAAGCCUGAUGCAGCAACGCCGCGUGCGGGAAGACGGCCUUCGGGUUGUAAACCGCUUUCGCCUGUGACGAAGCGUGAGUGACGGUAAUGGGUAAAGAAGCACCGGCUAACUACGUG